RNAcentral lists this ribosomal RNA (253 nucleotides) under uncultured bacterium. RNAcentral's name for it is "partial 16S ribosomal RNA". It matches the Rfam family "Bacterial small subunit ribosomal RNA", at positions 524 to 776 of the family's 1533-position model. The record is from RNAcentral.
UACGGAGGGUGCGAGCGUUGUCCGGAAUCACUGGGCGUAAAGGGCGCGCAGGCGGCUCUGAAAGUCAGAUGUGAAAGUCCUGGGCUCAACCUGGGAACUGCGCUUGAUACGGCAGAGCUAGAGGAUGGAAGAGGCUCGCGGAAUUCCCAGUGUAGAGGUGAAAUUCGUAGAUAUUGGGAAGAACACCGGUGGCGAAGGCGGCGAGCUGGUCCAUUACUGACGCUGAGGCGCGACAGCGUGGGGAGCAAACAGG